GUUUUUGUAUCCUUUUUGUUACUAACCAAUGUCUAAUCCAAUUGAUUACUGUCUCCUGUAAUUGGAUAUUGACACUUUUUUAUGAAAUGGUGAUUGGAGCAUCAUUUUGAGUUCAGGACUGGUAAUUUAGGAUAUAAUUGGGACAGAUUUCUUGCUGUAAUUUUAUGUAACUGAGUUCUUAAUGUAUUCCAAAAUGAUUAUGUUCUUCCUUUCAUUGACAAUAGAUAGGAUUAUUCCAUGCUAAAUGUAUGCUAGUUUAGGAUCAGUUAUUGUUCGUGGUCUGUUAUAUAUGUGGC
RNAcentral lists this unclassified non-coding RNA (296 nucleotides) under Hevea brasiliensis (rubber tree). The record is from RNAcentral. Lineage: Eukaryota; Viridiplantae; Streptophyta; Magnoliopsida; Malpighiales; Euphorbiaceae.